AGAAUAAAGUUCUAGUUUCUCUGUGGAGGAGAUCAUUCUCCAAUCAUGGCUGGGAUCUGGGGUCUGCAGCUUCUAAAAGCAUUUGACAUCAUCAUCUUAGUUUGAAUACUUGAACAUCUCCUGUUCUUGGGAUGAGGCGGGGGGGGGGGGUGCGGGGAGGAUUUUAAAGGCUAGACUGUUGUUGGUUCUGAGCUUCCUAUGUUCUGACUAGAACUCAGCAUUUUUGUGUUUCCUGGGCCAUUUGUCUCCCACUUAAGAAUAUUUAGGAAUUUUCUGGCCUCUGAAUACAUUAUUGCCUUCUCUUCCUCCUCCCCAAUGCCUUAAAAGCUGCCAUUUAGCUGAAUUUUGAGAGUGAAAAACAGGUAUACACAAACAUUUGUACACCCCCAGUCCCUCUCAACUGGAUUCUGUGCCCAGAAGUAGACCACUCCCCGUACAGCAUGGGAUUAGUCCCUCCAUGAUGGAGUGAAGCCUCAGGGUUAGGAGGGACCUACCCAUUAACUAGUUAUAGUGGCUUACUGGGAGCUGAUAUAGCACGCGCAUGAAGGGGUUCCUAAGUACUAGCUGAUUGUGGGCCUUAUAAUGAAAAUGAAGUGUAUUUCCCAGGGGCUACAAUCUCUAUGCUGUUCCAUUUGCUAUGCCUAGGACUGUGGACCUUGUCCUGUGUCUUUGACACUAAGGAUUAGGGGGCUCCAAGUUCCUCCCAAUAUUCUGGAACUAGAAGAGCAGCGUAUGGAAAACUCCAAAAGGUCAUAUAGGAUCAAAACAAUAAUCUUCAGAAUAAGCUAGUUUAAAAUAGUAGAACCCACAGGACCCCUUAUCCACAACUGUAGGUGUCUCAGCCAGUCCUAGGCUGCUGACUUGAUAGAGCAGUGCUCCACGCUGUCCCUCCUGGAUGCUUCUGUAGUCCCUUCUUAAGUUGUUUUUCUCUCAGUAUCUGCAAUAUGCAGACAAGCCAGAGUGCUAAUUUAUCUGAAGCCUGUUACCCCCCCCCCCCACACACACACCCUAGUUGGCCUUUAGUGAUGUUCCUUGGGGCUUUUUCCACAUUGGGGUCUUCUCCUUAUCCCAGAGGAUGAUGUCUGCAGUGAGGAGAGAGACCCACACAUCCCCCAAGGUACUUAUCUCAGCUCUGAUACCUUCUGGAGCUCCACUUGUAUAUUUUACAUCCCCAGUGACUACAGCAGCCCAUUGGCUGCUCCAAGUCUGGACCUCCCUGGACUCAGCAAGUCACCAAUCUCCAUCAGCUUCUACCCUAAGUAAGAUCUCACAGCCACACCAGAGCUGCCAAAGUGGAUCACCACUGUGUCUCCUUGAAACACCUACCCAGUAAUAUUGCUACCUGGAUUCCAACCAUCCAAUGAUGCCAAACUGAGCAAGUUCACUGAGGAGAGGAAGAAUAAAUGAUUAUUUGGGGCCUUUGAAAGGCAACAUGUGAAUAUGGAUACUAGGGAAUGUGCAGCACCCUCCCCACAUGUGAACAGUGUCUCCUGAACUCCAGAGUAACCCAUCCCUAUAACAGAUUUGAUAGUCGGUCAAGGUGUUUAUUUGUGCUGGUUUGAACUUCUGGAGGCUGGCUAUACCUUGUAGCCUCACAAGCCAAUGCUGAUCUCAAAGGUCACACCCAGAACCCACAAAGUUGGAGCAGGUGGUAGUUUCACUCCCUAUGGGGUCACUCCAGAACACCCACUAACACCAAGAUGAGAGGCCUUGUAGUGGCAGUGGAAUGGGGCACAGGCAGCUUUGCUUUCCUACAGGAGUCCAGAGAAGAAAGAGUGAGCAGGACAGUGACUCCACAUCCCCAGCAUCUGCAAGUGACUGUCCCUCACUGGACCAACCCAUCUCUGCUCCAGGAGUACCUUCUGCUAAUCACUCACACUAUUACUUGUUUCCUUCAUAUCCUGUCAAAUAUGUUUUUCUUAUUUUUAGCUCUGCCAUAGCUCUUUAUAGAAGUUUAGACAGAAAAAGAUAAUAUGAGAAUGUUUAGGACAGAAGAUUGUGAGGAGAAAUAAAGACCAAGCAGAAGUGCUGGAAAGUUCCAUGUGAGACCUUCAGCCCCACUCUUUGGUAUCCGUAAUCCCCUUUAGGCAUCAAACUUCUUCAGUCCUGAGUAGGAAGGAGUAAUAUAGAAAGACAGUCUGAACAGAGCCCUUUUACCUGCACAGGCUCCUGCCACUUCUCAACUACUUGUGACAUAGAGAGUGAGGUUGUCCCAUUUACAGAUGGGGAAACUGAGGCCCAGGAAACUUCUCUGAGCUGUAUAGAGACUGGUUGUGUUGACAAGAUUGCCUACAGUCCUUUCACUGUAGGCCUGCUGCUUUAGAUAACACAUAGUAAUAGACUCUAGAGACCAUUUCUUGAAGAAGAGGGGGUGCUACCAAAUCAACUGGAUCUUCACAGAAUAGUCAGACAUAGUGGGUGUCCAAGAAGCAAGAGGUAAAGGGGCUACCAUGGUUCCCAUGUCAGUUGAGGGAGAAAUAGAGAUUACAGGUGCCUUUCUCCAGCUUCAGGAAAGUUGUGCACCAUCUAGAUACCCUUCCGGUACUAAAGAAGCAGACAGGCUAAUGCCAUUGUUUCCUGGGUCCAGAUUACCAUUGUAGGCAAAUAGCACACAAUACUAAGUGAACGGAGGGAGGGAGAGCUUAGGGAGCUUUAGUACCAGCCUUGAGUCACUGGAGAUAUCUAGGUGGGUGCUGGGACAGUGGAAAUAUAUACAUGGUGACUCAUCACACAAAUGCUAGCCCUGGACUGCCUGUAGGGAGCCAACUUGGAGCUGGCCUCAAGACCUGGCAGCCGGCUAUCUUUUUGCUUUUCACAGUCAGUGGCCUCAGAUCACUCACCAAGACUGACACUGAAAGAACAUUCCUAGACUUGUUUCACUUUCUCAUCAUUUCCCAUCUAUGCUAGCUACCAUGAACAAUUGGAGGCUAUCUGUUGUUUGUGGCCACCAGAUAUAUGUGACCACAGCUGCCACAAGCUCAUAUGUGUGGGCAUAAAACCACCACACAAGAUUCUCCUAUUUAUACAUAAAGACCUGGUUGACAUCCAUAGUCCACUGUGUGGAGUCAUCUAUUGUGGCCACCUCCUCUUAACUAAGCUGGGACUAAUAUCCACUGCAGUUUUCUGAAUAGCUUUUACUUACAGGGUACCACCCCUUGAGUUUCCAUCUCAUAGUUCAUAAGAGACAAGGAGGAGUACUGGCAGGGACUGGUUCAGAUAAAGGUGGUCAUGAGCUUCUGACAGUGAGAUCUUGGGUCCCAUCUACUAAAAGUGUCCCAACCUAGGCUUCUUUGUAUAUGGCCUUUAUAAGGCUUUAUGUCAGCAGCAUUUCAGAUAUGAACACAUAUAGUCCUUAUAUAGACCCAGCCAAAGUGACACAAAAUUGAUACUUGCAAACAUUUCCCAGGGCCCAUGUAAAACUAAUUCUUUUUUUAAAAAAUAGUGUUAAGACUCUUUUCCCAACUAUUCCACACAUGUAGUUCUAUAUCUUCAUAUUCUUGUGGUAGCUAUGUAGUAAACAGCAGAGAGACUUUGGUACCUGUCUGAAGACUACUAAUUCUAUUCUAAAAAGCCUAAAAUGAGGAAGAAAAUUCCUUCCUUAUUCCCUUCAAGAUGACCUAUUCUAGUCAGGUGGUUGUGGUGGCGGUGGCACAUGCCUUUAAUCCCAGCAUUUGGGAGGCAGAGGUAGGUGGUUCUCUGAGUUUAAGGCCAGCCUAGUCUACAGAGUGAGUUUCAGGACAGCCAAGGCUACAUAGAGAAAUCCUGUCUUGAAAAACAAACAAACAAACAAACAAACAAACAAACAGAAAGAUGACUUAUUUUGGCUGUUUCUUUCAGCUCAGCUGCACAGUGGUGAUGUCUUGUGGCAGAUUUUGUAUCUUGUCAUUUUUCCAAUCACAGCUGCCCAACAUUAACCUUUCCUAGUAAGGUUCUUUCUUAGGAUUCUUCUACCCACCUCCAGGUUGGCACUGAUAAAGUCAAAUAACAUUCAAUGUAUGCAAGCACCCAGAGGCCAGAACACUGAGCUUAAGGCAAAAGUACUCAGAAAAGACAUCAGAAGGGUGGAGUAAGGAAGGGACUGAGGACAGGGUGGUUGCCACAUGGGGGAAACUUUGCACAGUUUGAGGCAUGUCACCUAUUGAGUUUCCUGUAGUCAGCAUUGAAACAGCUUCCCUACUACCAAGUUCCAAGCAUAAAAAGAAACAUGCAGCUAUUGUCUGAUGUACAGACACAGAGUACCUCAAGAGCCAGGUUUUUGGCUGUGAAACUUCAACUGGAUUUUUUUAAACCAAUAUUGUAAUUGCUAAGGCACUGCUUGACUAUUAUAAACAACAACCACAACAAGGAUAAAUGAGGCAAGAAGUGGUAUCUUUAGUGAUGAGAUCAAGAAAAGAGCUGUCUUUCACACUUAACCUUGAGGAUCUUGUGCCUGCCAUUCUUUUGUGUAUAUCUAUAGUUCCAUCUGGAACACUGGGUUUCAUGCCUGACAAAAACAAAAACCCAAAACCCAAACUCUGUUGCUUCACAGUGUAUAGGUCGGCUCCUGAGUUCUUUUAGUUUUUAGAUGUCUGGAAAUUUUCCAAUUAAAAAUGCAAUGUAUUUUAAAUUGGGGAGUUUUAUGUUUAUAGAUAAUUUCAGCCACAAAUAGUUUCAUGGAUUCCUCACUUAUGCACAGAUUCUUUUGUUCUUAAUAGCUUACAUUAAUAUACAUUGUUAAAAUGGAUAUCAAUAUAUAUUACUAUGAACUAAAGUCUAUAGUUUUCAUUAAGGUUCAUUCUUGAGAUAGAAUAUUAUGUGUUUUUGUGGCACUGGGACUUUGCUCAAGUUAGGUAAGCACUUGCUCUACCAUUGAGCUACAUCCAUAACUUCCUGGUUUGGGCAAAUGAUGAUCACAUGUUUCUACUAUUACAGUAUCAUACGGCAUCAUUCACUGUCUUAAUAGUCUUUCAUGAUCGACCCUUCUCUUGCCAUCACCGAGGUUUUGAGAGUUUCUACGAUUGUUUACUUUUCCAUAGUUCAUAUCAUUGGGAUCACACAAUAUGUCAUAGCUUUUCCAUAUGAGUGUCUUUCAUUUAGCAGCAAGCACUUGGAAGCUGAAGAGAUAGCUCAGCUGGUAAAGUGUCUGCCACGUAAGCAUGAGGACCUCAGGUUAAAUUCCCUAGUAUUCAUAUAGAAAGUUGUUUAGUGAGAACUCUCCAAUUUUGGUUUCUUUAAGAAACACAGAAAUAUUAUUAGACUGUGUUUUCAUCUUAAUCCCAGGUGUGGGGAUGUGGGGCUGCUUUGGACGGACCACAGCAGCUGACUGUGAUUUGCCUCAGGCUCUAGCAGAGGCCUUGUUUGACAGUUCCAGAUUGUCUAGGGCCCUGAGAGGCAAGGUGGGUGGAGACUGGUCAUUUGGGGGCUGUUUGCAGUUUGUUAGUAGUUGUGCUCAAAAAAGAAACAAGAAGAAAGAAAUUUGAUUCACAGAUAUCUCUCUCUUCCUUCUGUCCUUCUUUCUCUCCUAUCUAUUGAUACAGGAUGAUGCAGUGGGGAGGGGCAGUGGGUAAAGGGUGAGAAAAAGAACCCACAAAGUAGCUAAGUCCAGCUACAAAGUUGGGCAUGGUUCAGAGCUGGGGAAGCAGAGACAGGAGGAUCCCUGGGGCUUUCUGGGUUAAACUCCAGGUUUAGUGAGAGAUAGUUGUCUCAAAAAAUAAGGUAGAGAGAAAUAAAGGAAGCGACUAGACAUUGAUCUCUGGCCUCUACAUGUACAUACACACAUGUUCAUGUAUACUUAUUUACAUAUGCAUGCAAACACCACAGACACACCAAAUUUAAAAAAAGCAAUUAAGUGUGUAAGGUUGCUACAUGUCCUUUCAUAGCUCAGUAGCUCACUUUUCAAAAAAUCCCUGAUUAAAACAGUUAUGUGGCUAUACCUCCCAUCUAUUUAAUAUUUUUUGUUGCUUCUAAUGUUUGAUGAUUACAAAUGAAGCUGUUAUACUACCUACAUGUGCUGGUUUUGUGUAUAGUGGUAAAUAUCUAGGAAUUCAAAUGGUGAUUUUUUAAAAAGUUUUAUGUAUGUUGGAAUAGUUUUGUACAGCCCUGGCUAGUCUUGAACCUAUUACACUGCCAAAGUAUGACCUUAAUCUCCUGGUCCUUCUUCCUCCACCACUAAGUGCUGGCAUUACACUUGUUUGCUGUCACAUCUUCUAAGACGUUGCUUAGUUCAGUAGCAAACUGACAAACUAUUUUCCAGAGUAUCUUUAUUAUUGCUCAUUCCCACCAGCAAUGAAAGUGAUGUGCUGCUGUUGCUCUACAUCCUCACCAGUAUUUGGUGAAUUAUAGAUUUUAUAAAUUUUGGCUAUUCUAAUAGGUGUGUAUUGAUAUCUCAUUGUUUUAUAAAUCUGCAUCACCUAAUGACAAAUUAUGUUGAUAUGUUCAUAUGCUCAUUUGCCAUCUGUAUAUUUCCUUUGCUGAGUCAUAUGUUCAUAGCUUUUUCCCGUUUCUAUUUGUGCUGUUUAUUUUCUUAUUGUUGAGUUUUAAGGAUUUUUAGAAAUCCUUUAUCAGAUAUGUGUUUUGGGAAUAUUGUUUUUCAGUCUAUGUCUUACCUUUUUAUUCUUCUGACAGUAUAUUUUACAGAGAAAUGAUGCCAGUGUUAAAAAGAUAUAUUUUACCUUUAAGUGUGUGUGUGUGUGUGUGUGUGUGUGUGUGUGUGUGCACAUGCCUGAGUGCCUGCAAAGGCCAAGUGUCUUGGGUACUGGAAAUCAAAUUUGGAAGAGCUAUGUCUCUAUUAUUUUUACACGUGGAUGUCUAAUUAUUCCAGCAUCUUUUGUUGAAAAGACCAGCACUCCUCCAUUGAAUUGUAUUUGUUCUCUUAUCAAAGGUGAGUUUACUAUAUUUGUAUAGCUCUAACCUAAGUUUUGUAUUUGAUAGCAUCAAUUUAUUUCCCCCAUAUGACUCUUGAUUACUGUAAUUUUAAUAGUAAGUCAUGAAAUCAGAUGUUGUUAGGCCUAUACUUUUGUUUUGUUUUGUUUUUGAUCAAUAUUGUGUUAUCUAGUUCGGGUCUUUAGCCUUCCCACGCAAACUUUAAAAAAUAGUAGAAUCAUUUUCUCCUCAUUCGUACCACAAUCAACUGCAGGUUGAGUGACUUUCUUACAGCUAUUGACUCAGGCGUCCAGACUCCUUCCUUCUUGACACUACUUCCUUCAACAUGUACCCUCCAAGCAGUAUAGAGGAGAUGUGCAAUCCCAAUGAAAUAGAACAAAAACUCAGAACAAUCUUGAAAGGUAGCCCUAAAGAUCACUUAGACUUUGGUCUAUUUUGUAGGUUUCUUAGAAGUGGCCAGAACUGCUGGUUCAAGGUUCAAGUGUGCAGAUGGCCAUCCCCUGGACCAGGUAGCCUGGCAGGGUCAGGGCCGGCAGUCAUUUGUGUUGUAACUCCUGCAGGAGAGUGGACCCAAUCUAUCACUCUUGUUUCUUAACUCCUGCCUUUUCUACUGUGGGGGCUUUGUCCUUGAGUGGACAUAAGCAGGCAAAAUGCCCUUCUCCCGUCGACACGCCAGCAUCUUCUCAUAUCAUUAGGCCGGGAUAUGCUCGGAGACCACCUAGUGACUGACCAAUCAGGCAGGGACACACUUAACUCAAACCAGUGGGUGGAAAGUGGCAGGCUCGUGGGCUGUGCCGUUGCCCCUUUAAGAGUGUCCUCCAACCGCACAUGCUCAGUUCAGGUAGAGCCCGCGCACGCGCAGAGGUAGCAGCGGAUGUUUACAGCGGCUGAGGUCCGUCCGAAGCGACAGAAGCGUCUGAAGAACUGCUCUCCGAGACUCAAUACGGGGGCUGCUGAGCGCCGAGGUUCUUAUAUAAUCCACGCUGGCCUGGAACUCACGGAAGAUCACCUUGAACUCCUGAGCAGGAGCUGUUGAGAUUCAGAAAGUCUACUAAUCUUUUGUGGUUUGGUAGUCUUUCCUUCAACCGUUUAUAUCAGCAUCACCAGCUUUUAAGAAAUAAAGCCAUUAGUUUGGAAAAGUCACCCGAGCCUUGCUUGGCUGUGACCUUGAACAUGGGCGGUGCUGUGAGUGCUGGGGAGGACAACGAUGAGCUCAUUGAUAACUUGAAGGAAGCCCAGUACAUCCGGACGGACUUAGUAGAGCAGGCUUUCCGCGCUAUUGAUCGAGCAGAUUAUUAUCUUGAAGAAUUUAAAGAAAAUGCAUACAAAGACUUGGCAUGGAAACAUGGAAAUAUUCAUCUCUCAGCCCCGUGCAUCUACUCGGAGGUGAUGGAGGCUCUGGAUCUGCAGCCUGGGCUUUCAUUUCUGAAUUUGGGCAGUGGUACUGGCUACCUCAGCUCCAUGGUGGGGCUCAUUCUAGGUCCUUUCGGCGUGAACCACGGGGUGGAGCUUCAUUCAGAUGUCACUGAGUACGCGAAGCAGAAACUGGAUGUCUUCAUCAGAACCAGCGACAGCUUUGACAAAUUUGACUUCUGUGAACCUUCCUUUGUAACUGGAAAUUGCCUGGAGAUUGCUCCAGAUUGUUGUCAGUAUGAUCGUGUUUAUUGUGGGGCUGGUGUGCAGAAAGAACAUGAAGAGUACAUGAAAAAUCUUCUCAAAGUUGGAGGCAUCCUUGUCAUGCCCUUGGAAGAGAAGUUGACCAAGAUAACACGCACAGGUCCUUCUGCUUGGGAGACAAAAAAGAUUCUGGCUGUUUCCUUUGCCCCUCUGGUCCAGCCUUGCCGUUCGGAAUCAGGACAGUCCAGACUUGUCCAGCUACGUGAGUAUGAACAUCCUGUCUUUUAUCUUUGAUUAAAGUUAGAAUAGAAACAGAAUGUACAAAAAAAAUUUUGAUAUUAAAGAGUGCUAAUCUCCUCUGUUGAAUUCUCAAAUUAUACAGGAUGUUUUAGAUAUUUUUAAAGUAUCUCUUUUUAGUUCAUCUUGGUGAUCUUAAUCUUCUUUUAAAUCUAUAAAAUGUUGUUGCUAGUCAUGCUUUUGAGAGUAGCAGAUUCACACACAAAGGAGAUUAUUUUGGGAAUCAUAGGCAGUUUGCCUUGCUUGCUGGGAAUUGUUACCCGAAUAUAGCCCUCUUUCUCACAGUACCUGUCUCAUGCCACUUUAAGAAAAUAUAGGUGAGGAACCUGUUCUGCUGUGUGAUUGAGAAAUUUUGUGUAGCCUCACAUACUUUGAACCAUUGUGUUGUUUACUCUCUAAGAUGCAGGCUGUACAUGGAGCUAAUGUAGGCUGACCUUCAUCCUGAUGUUUGUUUCAUAUUUAAAAUAUCUUUUUACAAAAAUAGGAUUUCAAAGUGAUGAGGAUUUAGGAUUUCCAAAUGAAAACUAUCCAUCAUACUUUUCUGAUCACUUAAAACAUUUGGUAAACCUCUGAGUGUGUGUGUGUGUGUGUGUGUGUGUGUGUGUGUGUGUGUAAGAGAGAGAGAGAGACUAUGAAUGUGAAUUAUAAAUAGUUCUAACACAUACAUUUUGGUUAAUUUCUUCCAAAAAUACUUCAAUUAGUGGAGAAUUGUUUACUAAAUUGUCCUACUUUGUGUGUCAGGUAACAUAGACAAAGCCUUGACAUUUGGUAACCAGCCACAAUGAAACAUACAAAGAGCUUGGAAGGAUGAGGGAAGUUAUGUAGAGGAUGAUGUUAUGUUGUGCUUGGUUAUGUUCAGGGUGAAAGGAAACUUUCUUAAGAGAGGUAUAGAGAAUCUCUUACUACAUAUCACCUGUCAAUAUAAAAGCUUAUGGCCAAUAAGCUGAGGCAGGAAAUACGAGGUCAGACAUCCAGUAGGGAAAGAGAGAAUUCUGAGAAAUAAUGAGAGGCAUGGAAGAUUUAAGCUGAAAUGCUGAGGGGUCAGACAUAAACUAGCAAAUAGCUGAACUCAGGAUAGAAUAAAGGGAAAAUUCGCUCUAGGAACUCUUGAGAUGGAUAUACAAAGACAAGGAGAAGAAACCAGCCAUGCAGCUGAACCCAGGUUAAAAUAACAGGGAUAAUGAGUUAAGAAAAAGUCAGAAAACAAGCCAAAACUUACAGCCUAGUCAUCUAUCAAUGAAUAAUUAGUCUUAGAGAAUAAUUAUUUUUUCUGGGAGCAGAGGCUGAGAGGAAAAACUUGAUUAAUUUUUAUAGCUGUUGCUCAUCAGCAUUUAAUCUAAUCCUUUAAUUUUCAUAUUCAGUUAUUAUUAUGGAGAACUUAUUAAAAUGGUGGAAAAACCUAAAGUUACAGAGAGGAGUAGAAAGCUAGAACCGGGCAAACUUUGGGACACACAUUUCAUGGUGUAGUCACUGUGGGAUAUGUUGGAGAAACUGACUGGAAUGUAGGUUGGGUUUUAAUUCACUAUGUGGCUGUGGAGAGCUUCAGAUAUUAUUCAAGAUGCCGUACAUUUGUAUAGGUAUAAUCCUAUCAAUCAUUUGUAGGGUGAAUUUGUCAGACUGGUUUUCUGAAAUUUUGUUAUUUAAACAAAUGUGCCCCUACUAAGAAAAUGCACCAUCCUUUGGCACAGUUUCUGGGUUUGGAAGACAAGAAUUCAUGAAAACAUUUGGGAGACUUUGAAAAUCUAGUUAAACAUGAGUGUUUCUGUAUGAGGACUUAUCAAGCCUGGCUAGGAACCUUAGGCAUGCAUUGCCUCCUGAAAUGCGAAUGUUGAGUAAUAAACAUUUGUGUGAUUUGGUUAGAAUUUCUAAAGUGAUCAGUUGGGUAGGGUGUUUGCAGUUUCUAUCUUUUCUAGAUCACUGAAGUUGAUGAGACCAAGGGAAUAAGAGAAACCAUAUAGCAAAGCCAGCAUACAAAGAGACCACGCAGCUUGGACAUGCACUGCCUGGAGCAUCCUCCUAAAUGGCAUGCAUGCAGGCUGGAGGCAGAAGUCAGGCAGGAAUGAUGGGGUUUUCCCUAUCAUGCAAGAGAAAAAGAUUGAGACACCACCAGCCUCUCAACAGGAAGGGUUCCAGGACACAUGACCUUUCUGAGGAAGAACAGGAGAGCCUAAGCACCACCAGCCGUGCGCAGCCUACAGGACCUGGCCCGGCUUGCUAUCCGUGGCAGCAUCAAGAGGGCUAUGCGACAGGAAGCCACAAGAGGAGGUGGCCUGAAGAACACACCUAUGUUUAAAAGAAGGCGAGUCCGUCGCCGCAGAAUGGAGACCAUUGUCUUUUUGGACAAAGAGGUUUUUGCCAGUCGAAUUUCCAACCCCUCUGAUGACACCAGCUGUGAGGAUGCAGAGGAGGAUCGGCGGGAAGUGGCAGAGAGGACCUUACAGGAGACCAAGCCUGAGCCACCAGUGAACUUCCUUCGUCAGAGGGUAUUGCGCCUCCCAUUGCCUGAUCCCCUGAAGUACUACCUGCUGUAUUACAGGGAAAAGUGAGCUGUGGGAGAGUGGGACCAGGAUACCCAGAGGAAACUGCUGGCCAGGUACAUGUCUUUUCCCUUUCUUGGUUCCUGUCUGUGCUCUAAAACUUCCCAUGUAAUGGUGUGAUUUAUUUAAGUACAGUCUAACAAGAAACUGCAUAGAAUUAUUUUCUUUGGGGGUGGGGUGGGAUGUGCAUCUUUUUGGCUCUACUGUAACUUGAACUCAUUGGGAACUGCAUGAUGUCUGCUCCUUAUAGAGGCAAGCUUUCACAUUGAGACUUGAAUUAAAUUUGAUUGGAUCCUGUGUGAGGCAAGGGGCAAGUCUGUAAAGGUGUGACACACCACCACGCAAAUUUCAUGUGAUGGUUCUAUUGCUGGCCUCUGACUUUUGCCUUUUUCUAUGCUCAGAAAAUCCUCCCUUAUUUAAAUCAAACUAAUCAAAUAUUAUGUGAAAUAAUCAUCCAUAAUUUUUUAAAGAAAAAGAAAAUGAGAUACAGAAGGAGGAAUAAUGUAUAGAAAUGCCAGAUAUCCUUCAGGAUUUUCCAAAGACUUUCAAGCAGUCGAUCCUCCCCUGAUUCCUUCUGAUGCUUUAUAGGAACCACCAUCAAGUGAUCUCUUUUUCUGAGAGGAAAAGUUUUUCCUGAACCAUCGCAGUGAUUCAUGAGUCAGUUCUAAGGUAUCUACAUGAGAAUUUUCGGUGCAGGUGGAGAGACUGCAGUGUCACAGAACGCCCGCACUUCUUGACUUCUUUGGUCAUAUUAGAGUACCAGGUCAUAGAUUUUUAUCUUUUAUAAUUCUGGAGAAAAAAAUUGUUAGUUUUGUAAGUUUUCUUAAGAACAGAUAUAUGUAUUUUAAUAGCUCCAUUGCAUUAGAGCAGUUUAACUUAGUGACAUGUGAAAUCUGUUAUCUCCAGGCCAUAGGUGUUGAGAACUAUCAAGUUUAAAAAUAAAGGGGGGAGGGGCAACCUUUCUGCUGUCAGAGGGAAAGACUUGAAGUUGCAUUGCUGAUUCCAAAAGCUGGCUCUUAAAAAAAUUUUUUUUCUAGCCCAAAGAAAAGAAUAGUGUUAAUUGUUAGUAAUAAGCCCAAGUUAGAGUACUAAUUUAGGAUUAAGUACUGAGAUCUUAUGAUUGACUUUUAGUUUAGCCUCACGUGACUUGCAGGGAGAAAUUUGAUAGUUUUGCGAUUUCUCCAUCUUAAAUGUGUAUUUUGGUUCUUUUUCUUUUUUCUUUUUUUUAAGUUAGUUGAAUCAUUUUUACCACACAUUAUAGUCUGCAUGUAUAGCUGGGAAAAUGUAUAAUACCCUACAUUAUAAAUAUAAUGUACACUUACAUGACUUUAAAUAUAAGCUAUUUAAAGAAAUUCAUAGUUGGUUUUACUUGCCUUUUAACUCCACUUUGGGCUUCUUUUCUCUCAGAAGGAAGUGCAUGCUCUAACUUGACUUGCAAACGUUUGUCGUUUGCAGGUUGUUCUUGAUGUUAACUCUGAUUGUUAGCUAGACUUUUGUUACCUGGAAAAUUUUGGACAUAAAAUUAAAUAAAUGAUACCUGUGAAGUUUGUAUAUUAGGUGGAUUGAUUGAAUUUUUUCCUGUAAUUGAGUAUGGGCUACAUUUUGAAAAGCCACAUUUGCCUUUAUGCUGGACUUUUAAAAAAUGACAAUGCGUAAGACAUUUUCCCUUUAUAUGUUAAACUUUUCUUAGCAUUUUGUAUUUAUAUUUUAUCACUUUGUGAUUUUAAACCACAAUUCAGUGAAAUAUAGUUGUAACAAGUGAGAAAUAGAUUGGCCUUUAUCUUAUACUACCAGGGAAAUUUUAAAUUUUCUCAUAAACACUUUGCUGCCAGAAUUCAGUAUAUACCAAUGGUAUAUACAAUAAUAUCCCACAUUCUGUUUUCAGGCUAAUAAAUGUUAAUAUAGUCUAAUGUUUGUCUUCAGGAUCUGUAUUGUAAACAAAAUAUUGACAGUGGCUAUGUUUCAAGGAGUGAGUAUUUUUAAACACAUGACUUCUGUUGUAAGAAUCAAAGGUGUACAUAAAAAUAGAUUUGUCAACAUGGAACUUAAAGUUGAAAAUCCAAGAAAUUAGAAACACUGAUUUUUUUUUAAUGAGGUGAAACAUAUGGGUAAACACAAAUGAAUCAAUAAAAUCGUGUUACGACAUUCUA
Molecule: RNA transcript, 13462 nt
Organism: Mus musculus (house mouse)
Lineage: Eukaryota; Metazoa; Chordata; Mammalia; Rodentia; Muridae
Gene: Pcmtd2
Gene name: protein-L-isoaspartate (D-aspartate) O-methyltransferase domain containing 2
Exons: 7
Source: RefSeq, marked validated